Molecule: ribosomal RNA, 334 nt
Filed under: uncultured eukaryote
Lineage: Eukaryota
Description: partial 18S ribosomal RNA
Rfam family: Eukaryotic small subunit ribosomal RNA
Source: RNAcentral
CCCUUUGAUACUCUGGGCGGCACGCGCGCUACACUGAAGGAAUCAGCGUGGCUUUCUCCCUGACCCGAAAGGGUUGGGAAACCCGUUGAAUCUCCUUCGUGAUAGGGAUUGGGGCUUGAAAUUGUUCCCCAUGAACGAGGAAUUCCCAGUAAGCGCGAGUCAUAAGCUCGCGUUGAUUACGUCCCUGCCCUUUGUACACACCGCCCGUCGCUACUACCGAUUGAACGGUUUAGUGAGGGCCUCGGAUUGGUCUCGGCCCGCUCUUUACCGGGCGGCGCCGUUGGUCGAGAAGACGCUCGAACUUGAUCGUUUAGAGGAAGUAAAAGUCGUAACA